RNAcentral lists this unclassified non-coding RNA (726 nucleotides) under Turbinaria mesenterina (pagoda coral). Its description in RNAcentral is "sequence contains ITS1, 5.8S rRNA gene and ITS2". The stretch from base 375 to 528 matches the Rfam family "5.8S ribosomal RNA". The record is from RNAcentral. Lineage: Eukaryota; Metazoa; Cnidaria; Anthozoa; Scleractinia; Dendrophylliidae.
GUGAGGCCUUCUGACUGGCGCCGAUACUCUGGCAACAGAGCGCCGGAUGCCGGGAAGUUGGUCAAACUUGAUCAUUUAGAGGAAGUAAAAGUCGUAACAAGGUUUCCGUAGGUGAACCUGCGGAAGGAUCAUUACCGAUAACAAUCCAAUCAUAAAAAUGGAUUUUUAACCUCUGUGAACUGUACACAAUCUUUAGGGGUCGGUGGCGCUUUUACCGUUAAAUGGUCGUCGGUCCGUGCAUUCGGCUUUCGGCCAGCCCCGCCAUUCUCGUUUGUUGACACACUUCAAUGUAUUGCUCUGAAACAUAUCUGCCCGUUCAUUUUUUUUUUUUUUAAAGAAAAAAGACGGGCGAGUGACAAAGAACAUGUGGAGACAACUUUUAACGGUGGAUCUCUAGGCUCACGUAUCGAUGAAGAACGCAGCCAGCUGCGAUAAGUAGUGUGAAUUGCAGAAUUCAGUGAAUCAUUGAAUCUUUGAACGCAAAUGGCGCUCUUGGGUUCUCCCAGGAGCAUGUCUGUCUGAGUGUCGGAUAUCAUCUAACGCACUCGUUUGGUGUGCGGAAUUGAGGCGUCACGGCGUUCUCUCUGUCGCCGUGUCCCUUGAAGGAAAGCGUGUUAGACUCGCAUCGUGCGCGGUUUCAAAAAAACCUGCACUCCAUGCGAAGGCUAAAGACAUUAUUUUGUCCUUCGUCUGGGUGCCGGUCCGCCAGCGCGAGUCGGCCGAAAA